This 1159-nucleotide long non-coding RNA is filed under the name Athene cunicularia (burrowing owl). RNAcentral describes it as "lncRNA (ENSACUG00000003759.1)". Lineage: Eukaryota; Metazoa; Chordata; Aves; Strigiformes; Strigidae. The record is from RNAcentral.
GGGGGCUGCGGGCAGGGCGGGGUGUGCUGGUGUAAAGGAACUUGUGCUGAACGAGGCUCUUCAGAGGGAGGUGCUCUGGCUCUGGGUGUUUCCCACGUGACUGGUUAGGAUUUAGGUGUCUCAACCCCUCAGGAUUUUUUUCUACUCCUUGAGGGGCUGCUGAGGGGAACGGGACCUUGUGUAGGCCUUAGCAUCAAAUUCUUCUGCUGGGCUACUCUUUAGAAAAUUGAAAAGACUUGCUUCAGAGUUUGGGCAGUGUUUUCAUGACUGGGCAACUAGAGUUUUUAAUAAUUUAGGAAGUAAAAACACCGAGGUUCCCGUUGUGGGACGAUGCCAGUACUAGAGGCACGUAAGCACCGCAGAGUUGAGGCACCUGCGGUAGCAAAUGCAGGUAGGGGCAGCAAACUCAAGGCACCUGUGGCACCAGGUCCACCUAAGAAGAACAGCAGAACCACGGUGCUGGCAGCCACUAAAGUGUUGAAUCCUCAAGAUUUUGUGUGCAUUCAGGCUUUGCCUGGCUUUUCUCAGAAGGAAGGAAAGGUCAUGGCCAGAAGCAGAACAAUUUACAAAAGCAGUGAACUUCCAAGAGAACAAGUGUUCUGGGAAAGCUACUAUAGGAGGCAAAAGCAGUUCACUCAGGGACACUUCACCCCCCUUGGGAAGCCUUAUCAGGAGCUUGGAGAGGUUCUCUACACAGACCCGAAGAAACUCACCCUCUACUCUUUGGGGCAGCUUGCACAGGAACCAGUGAAAAAAGAAGGACAAGAAAAAACACCCAAAGAAGCGGCUGAGGUAACUACUGACGAGGACUCUUUCAAUGCAGAGUUUGAUCACUUUCAGUCUGAUCCUCUGGAACCAGUGAAGAGGCUCUCCCCAUUUAAAGAAACAGAAAAGGAGCUGAGGACUCUUAGUAAAGCUCUAGCUCACUCAAGGCAUCACGUCAAUUCUGUGAAGCAAGGUGGAGAGUACUUUCAUAUACUUCAUCAGGAGUCACUGGAGAGGAAGAACACACUGAAAGCAGCCCAGCAGGCUCAGGGCACAAGAUGGAGGUCUGAGUUCCAGCCACCCAAAUACUCCUCUGCUGAAGAGGAGUCAGAAGAAGAAAUAAACACGUAAGUUAACUCAGAGGGCUUUUGGUGGUCUGAGGGCAGUGGUUUUA